AAGGGAGAGGAAUAAGUAGAAAUCUACCCUCGGAUCGGGGAUAGCGGCGGGAAACUGCCGGUAAUACCCGAUAACGUCUUUGGACCAAAGGUGUGAUUCCGUCUGAGGAUGAGUCUACUUCCUAUUAGCUAGUUGGCGGGGUAAUGGCCCACCAAGGCAACGAUGGGUAGCAGGUGUGAGAGCAUGACCUGCCUCAUUGGGACUGAGACACUGCCCAGACACCUACGGGUGGCUGCAGUCGAGAAUCUUCGGCAAUGGACGAAAGUCUGACCGAGCGACGCCGCGCGCGGGAUGAAGGCCUUCGGGUUGUAAACCGCUGUCGGAGGGGAACAAAUGUACGGGGGUACUCCCCUGUAUUUGAGUGAACCUAGGAGGAAGGAGAGGCUAAGCUCGUGCCAGCAGCCGCGGUAAGACGAGCUCUCCGAACGUUAUUCGGUAUCACUGGGCUUAAAGAGUUCGUAGGCGGUCUGGUAGGUGAGGUGUGAAAUCCCCCGGCUCAACCGGGGAACUGCGCUUCAAACCGCCGGACUUGAGGGAGACAGAGGUGGGCGGAACAGAUGGUGGAGCGGUGAAAUGCGUUGA
RNAcentral lists this ribosomal RNA (582 nucleotides) under uncultured bacterium. RNAcentral's name for it is "bacterial SSU rRNA". It matches the Rfam family "Bacterial small subunit ribosomal RNA", at positions 102 to 694 of the family's 1533-position model. The record is from RNAcentral.